Lynx canadensis (Canada lynx) is the source of this 2259-nucleotide long non-coding RNA. RefSeq lists it as uncharacterized. The record is from RefSeq and is a predicted model, not a curated record. The transcript is spliced from 3 exons. Lineage: Eukaryota; Metazoa; Chordata; Mammalia; Carnivora; Felidae.
CGUCACCCUGCAACGACAAGAGCAAAGCAGGGCGUGUGGCAGAAUUCGGCCGUAGGAGAGCUGCGCCGGGAAGUCCGGGGUGGGAGGAGUCACAAGUCCCUCCACAGGGAGCACUCCCAGGAGCCCGAAAGCGUCACAAAGACGCUCGAUUAUGCCCGACGUUGCUUAUGGGACACCAGCUGCCGUCUCCCGACUAAGGAACGAGUCUUACUUUCAUGUGGGCAGAGGCUUUAGCCCAUAAACCUGCUGGGAGCCAAAGAGAGCUGGCAGCAGGCGAGCCUGAGAGCCCACACCCCCGCCUCUGAUCCUGAAGGACACCCACCCCGCCAGCCUCCGUGGGCCCACGGCCCGCAGGCUCAGAGGCGCCUGCCUCUCUGAGCACCUCUGUGUUUCCACGCUUGGACUCGAGUCCCGAGAGCGUCGUGCGUUUCCAGCUAAGGGUGAGGGCAGCCACGCCCACGCCCCGAUUUUUCAGGACUUUCUGCGAAGGGUCACGAGACGUGACUUCUGUCGGCAGAGGAGCCAGCUGCCCCCGGGGUCCCCGCCAGCCUCGCCUUUCCUGUCACGCUCUGCGGCGGCCGGCCCGGCCCAGCGCACCCCGUGCCAAGGGCGGUGUACCCACUGCUUGUCUUUGCAUCUGCGUGCCGCCACAGCCGGAGCCCAGAAACAGUCCUUCCCCAGGGCGGGGUCAAGGCUAUGACACGAAACUGCUCCUCUGUGCUUCCAGAAUCGCCAUCCCGGCAAGGCACGGGACAGAGGCAGCUGUGGCCUCUGGGCCUGGGAUUUCUUAAUCAGCCUGUGUCUCCCACGCGGAAACUACCGUGGGGCAUUCGGUCAACAGUAACGUGAGGGCGGCUUAUGCUAACGAGGGCUCCCCAUGCUCAAGCUCUGAGCUGAACACCCUCCGCAGAGUUCACGGUUAUGAGACCUCUGGAGUCCUGUCCUCUGGGGCCUAGUUACACAACUCGCCCCAGAUUCCUCUCUGGACGUAGCAGAGAAGGGCACAUGGGACGUUUUCUCUAGAGUCCACCUGUUUGCCCAGUGUCCGUCAGCACCCACCGUGGCCCAGGCACGGGGUCAGAAUAAAUGCCGUGCACAGAGCCUAGGAGGCGUGGGUGGCCACCUGGGGCGUCAGUGCCUCACUUGGUCUUCUGUGUGAGACACCUCCCGGCUCCGUCCUCCUCAGAGCCCUGUCGCCCCCCGUUACGGCCCCGACGCUCAAGGAAGGCCUGUCCUCACCUCUUGCUUCAGUGUCAGCCUCGCCAUGAUUUCAUCAUGAUCGAUGAGGGACAGCUCGUCAGCUUCCUCCUCCGACCGAGCCAACUCCGAAGCAUCUGGUGACCCUGGGGCCCUGGAGGGAGAAGUGGUUUGUGUCGCAAGCGCCCAAGAGGCCCCAGCAUCCAGGACAGCAGGGGCCCGAGGCAGUGCGGCCCGCUGCGUGAGGACUAGGAGUUACGACCGCCCCUGAACAGGUCCUUCUGGAACUGCGGCUACAACGGGGAAAUCCACACCCUUCCCCCCGCCCCAGCACAGGGGGCCCGAGUGGGGGCUGGGAGCCAGGGCACACACUGGAUUUCUGGUGCCACUACCGAUGAGCUCUGUGACCUUGGGACGUUUCUUGCUCUCUGCUCCGUCUGCCAUCUGCAGCUCUGAAAAAUGGUGCUCUCGGGUUCCGUGCAGCUGGAGGCUGAACCCAUGAGUCUCUGAUGCCUGGCGCAGCCCCUGUUUGCUGCCAGGUGUUCAACGAGAAGACCCAUCAUCCCUUGCUUAAUACUUGGGGAGAUCUUAGCCCGGGCAGACGGAUCAGACGGUCUCCACCCACACGGACGGCACUGAGGAGCGGCCAAGAGCAGGCUGGGCGGGCAGCCCUCUUCAGCGGGCCCCUAUCGAGCGCUUUCUGAUUCUUCUUCUGCCUCUUGCUAUUUACCACCUCUUGAACCGUUUAUGCUUAGGCCUGGCAAGCAGGACCCCAGAGGUAGCGGAACCUUGGCCUGCAGAGGGAGGAAAAGCUCGAACUUGUGGAACAUCUCGCUGAGAAGGCAGCGUCACCACGCGGUUGCCGAUGGCAGGGCCAGAGAGGAUCUGGAGGUCCCACGCGUACAGAAACGGACUACACGUUUCUAAACCGGGUCAGGUCUGACUCCGGCAAAUGCCGAAAAAUGUUACAAAAGAUUAAAGACACAUGGGGUUCCUGGGGGCUCAGUCGGUUAAGCGACCGGCUUUGGCUCAGGUCACGAUCUCCUGGUGUGUGGGUUCGAG